UUAAUGAAUUUAAAGUUGCUAAAAUUUUAUUUGUUGAUCAUAAUUAAUUUAAAAAGUAUUGGCGGUAUUUGGUUAAAUUCUGAGGAACUUGUUUAUUUAAAUUGAUAUUACACAUUAAAUUUCAUCUAUAAUUAUUUUUAUGUAUUGCUGUUUAAUUUAUUAUUUAAUAUUUAUAAUAAAUUUAAUUAUUUAUGUGAAAUGAAGUAUUCAAGUCAAAAUGUAGGUAUUUAUAGAGAUAAAUGAGUUACUUUUGCAAUAAAUUGUGAGGCUGUAAAGUUUAAAUGAAAUAUUUUAUGAAAGAAGGUUGGAUUAGGGAGUAAAAAGGAAAUAAUUAGUUUUUUUGAUAAGUUUUACUAAUAUGU
Molecule: ribosomal RNA, 362 nt
Filed under: Bamazomus hunti
Lineage: Eukaryota; Metazoa; Arthropoda; Arachnida; Schizomida; Hubbardiidae
Description: partial small subunit ribosomal RNA
Source: RNAcentral